AUGUUCCCACUCCCACUGCUCUUAUGCCCUCUUUCUUCCACUUCCCGGCUCACCUUCAAGCUCUCAAGUUAUCUAAAUAUGUGGACACAUGUCGAUUGUUUCUCCAACAAAUCUACUGAUGCAAUCCUAAAGGAAGGGGAUGGAGUGCACAAGAACGGCUAUAGGAGGGUGACGCUCUACUUGGCCAUAUUCGAUAAUGUCCUGCAUCGGUUGCGCUUCUCAAAGUUCAUCUCUGUUAUCCGUGCGGACAUUCCAGAGAGUACAUGUACAAGGUGUUUGACAAAUAUGCUGUCAGAAGCUCUUAUUGACGGAUUGCUUCUGAAUGGGAGGCUAACAUUCGGCCAACUUGUGGGACGAACAAUUUCUAAAGUGCCACAAGGUGAUGAUCAGCAAAUGACAUCAUCAAUAAAUGGUAUUUUGGAGAAACUAGGACAAAAGGAAGGAGGUCCAGCAAUGACACUUGAUCAGAUAGCACCAGUUCUGGAGGAUUUACAGUGUACUACUUCCAGUGAGGACCUGGAAGCAUUUACUUUUGGCUAUUGGUCACACAUGGUUGUGCAGUUGAGACAGAUCAAGUACAUGGAUCACACAAGGUUGUGCUAUUGGUCACACAAGAUUAUUGCCACAACAAUUCUUGACAAGCAGAUUGUUCAUUCAACUUUGUACAAACUAUGUAAUGGGAGUCACAUAGAUACAGAGCAAACAAAAAGGAAGAGGAAGGAGCGCAUAAGGACGAUAGGAAUGGGAGGCAUCGGGAAAUAUCUCCACCUCAACACAAGAGGUGGAGAACAGCUAAGUUAG
RNAcentral lists this ribosomal RNA (801 nucleotides) under Triticum aestivum (bread wheat). RNAcentral's name for it is "partial small subunit ribosomal RNA". The record is from RNAcentral. Lineage: Eukaryota; Viridiplantae; Streptophyta; Magnoliopsida; Poales; Poaceae.